This 790-nucleotide ribosomal RNA is filed under the name uncultured Pseudoalteromonadaceae bacterium. Its description in RNAcentral is "bacterial SSU rRNA". It matches the Rfam family "Bacterial small subunit ribosomal RNA", at positions 56 to 842 of the family's 1533-position model. Lineage: Bacteria; Pseudomonadati; Pseudomonadota; Gammaproteobacteria; Alteromonadales; Pseudoalteromonadaceae. The record is from RNAcentral.
UGCAGUCGAGCGGUAACAUUUCUAGCUUGCCAGAAGAUGACGAGCGGCGGACGGGUGAGUAAUGCUUGGGAAUAUGCCUUAGGGUGGGGGACAACAGUUGGAAACGACUGCUAAUACCGCAUAACGUCUACGGACCAAAGGGGGCUUCGGCUCUCGCCCUUAGAUUAGCCCAAGUGGGAUUAGCUAGUUGGUGAGGUAAUGGCUCACCAAGGCGACGAUCCCUAGCUGGUUUGAGAGGAUGAUCAGCCACACUGGAACUGAGACACGGUCCAGACUCCUACGGGAGGCAGCAGUGGGGAAUAUUGCACAAUGGGCGCAAGCCUGAUGCAGCCAUGCCGCGUGUGUGAAGAAGGCCUUAGGGUUGUAAAGCACUUUCAGUAAGGAGGAAAGGUUAGUAGUUAAUACCUGCUAGCUGUGACGUUACUUACAGAAGAAGCACCGGCUAACUCCGUGCCAGCAGCCGCGGUAAUACGGAGGGUGCGAGCGUUAAUCGGAAUUACUGGGCGUAAAGCGUACGCAGGCGGUUUGUUAAGCGAGAUGUGAAAGCCCCGGGCUCAACCUGGGAACUGCAUUUCGAACUGGCAAACUAGAGUAUGAGAGAGGGUGGUGGAAUUUCAGGUGUAGCGGUGAAAUGCGUAGAGAUCUGAAGGAAUACCGAUGGCGAAGGCAGCCACCUGGGUCAAUACUGACGCUCAUGUACGAAAGCGUGGGGAGCAAACGGGAUUAGAUACCCCGGUAGUCCACGCCGUAAACGAUGUCUACUAGGAGCUGGGGUCUUCGGACAACUUUU